RNAcentral lists this long non-coding RNA (17033 nucleotides) under Citrus x clementina. RNAcentral describes it as "Citrus clementina (C. clementina) long non-coding RNA (CCLE_LNC003691)". Lineage: Eukaryota; Viridiplantae; Streptophyta; Magnoliopsida; Sapindales; Rutaceae. The record is from RNAcentral.
UAUGUAGACAAGGCUAAGGAUUAUCUUCACCAAUACCACUCUUCUCAUUCCACUGCCCAGACCGACACCUCUGGCCACUCAGCCCAAGGUGGUCAUGAUUCAUCAUCAGUUCCAUCUGGAGGUGGUGGUGAUGAAAAGUCUGGAGGUGGCUAUGGAGACUACCUGAAGACGGCUCAAGGUUUCUUGAACAAGUAGUGACUCUUAUCUAAUAGACUCUAGUAUUGUUGAUGAGCUAGGACAAAUAAAUAAUCUGUUCUGUAUGUUUCCUUUUAAUUGUGUCUUUUGUUCUUAUAAACUACAAAUUUGUGUAUUAAUGUGUCAACUUUCCAGAUUGGGCUUGCUUGCUAAAGCUAGCCAUAUCUGUAUAUGUGCGUGCUUAUUGUUAACUAAUGUCAUAUUGUAAUGUUUGGAUCAUUUAACUACUAUAAUCUGCUUCUCUAAAUAAUGAUUUUAUAGAUGUGUGUGUGUGACACUUUAGCUAUAGAAGGUAUUUCUACUGGUUGUGCAUGUAUGUAUGUAUACACACACACACACACACACACCCCUCUCAUAUAUUGAUAUACAUCACGAUCUAUCUCAAGUGCAUUAACUUUCUCCUUGUUUCCUGUAUUGUGGGAAUCUUGUAGAUAUUGAUUCUGAUUUGUAUUCUAAAAUUCUUUUGUGAUUGGAUGGAAUUUCAUUUUAGUGGACCUCGGGCCUCGCGUGUUGGCUUGGUUAGCAGGAAAUAUAAUUAUUAGGAAUAUUUACAAUUUUCAUGGCUCCAAAAUGUCUAAUAACAUUUGGCGACCGAGAUUUCACAGCCAACAUUUCUGUGAACAGACAGGCAAUAUUAAGUCCAGACCCUGUGAGAAAUUAAAACCAGGAAACAUAUCCAAUGCUAAAAAGAAAUCGGUUCCCCGUAGAUUAUGAAACUUUAACCACCUAUAUGAUGUAUACGUCGGUUGCACGGUCAAUGAGUCAAUAGAUCUAUUGAGUUAUACAGCAUCAUUUUUUAUCUUUCUUCUUUUCUUUUGCAUAUAAUUGAGCAAAAAUGAAUUCAUUUUUCACAAGCCAAACAAACAACGUGACAAUCAUCACGUGCACAAUGAACAAUAUUCUUCCCAUGAUGGCAAGUCCAACAUGCACCACAACGAGCACUCUUAUUUCUUCCUAUGGUGAGAUCCAUAUAAGCACCGCAACGAACAUUCUUCCUGUGGAGACUAGCCCUACAAGCACCAAAAUGUAAAUUCUUCCUACAGUGAGCCGUUCAGGAAUCACAAUGUUGAAUGUUCUUCCUAUGGUGACAAGCCCUGCAAGGGCCAUAAUGAACAAUAUCCUUCCUGUAAUGACAAGCCCCCCAAGCCCCAUCAAUAUUCUGAGUAUGACAAAUCAGGCAAACCUGCCAAAAACCAUCAACCAUCCAAUGCUGAGCUCCUUUCUAGCGCCAAAUUGGUUGCUGACGCAGCGAAAGACACGUUGAACAGUGAUCAUGACAAGGUAGACAAGACUAAGGUUGCCCAUGCCGCCGGAGAUCUUCUUAAAGCCGGGUCUCGUUACGGAAAGUGAAGAUGAGACGGGCUAUGGCAAGUUUUUAGGAAGGCUGAGGAUUAUUUGCACAAAUUACAAUAAUAAGCUACUUUCCAAGGAUACCUAUUCGAGCUCUCAUUCUGGCCACUCAGGUCACGGCGAUAAACCCAGCUCUUCAUGAUGAUCAUUAUGGCCACUCUGGCAGCUCUAAGACAAAUCCUAGUGGUGGUCAUAAGGAUUCUGGUGGCGUGUAUGAAGAUUACUUGAAGAUAGCUGAAGGUUUAAUUAGGAAGCAUUGAGUCUUUGAUAUUGUCAUAUAGACUGAUAUUGGAUCAUUCAUCAAGGCUCAAGCGAUGCGCUUGGUUGUUCUUUAUGUAUGAUUAUGUUUGAUAUUUUACUUUUGACAGUUGUUUUUUAUGUAAAGAAGUCAAAGAUACGCAUUCCUUUAAUUAGAAAUAAUAACUGGAUCAUUUAUAUUUUUAUAAAUCUGAUGGAAAUUACAAUCUGAGCAUUUACAGAAUCCUAAAGAAAUAUUUACAUUGGUGAAGUGAUGAUAUUCAGAAGCAGGAACAUGUGGUGGCAGGAAUUUUCCCCGUCGUUCUGAUUUUAUUAGCCUUUUCUUUUGCCUUAAACUCUGCUUUUCUUCGCUUCUCCUGUGCCUGUGCUCUUGCUCCUCCUGCUAUCCGAUCAAUAGAUUCCAUGUCACUGCGAAAUUUUUGCAAGGCUUUUACCCGUCUUUUCUCCAAUUCACCCUGCAUCUCCAAGAAGACAUGGGAGAGAUAUCGCUUAUCAGUUCCUAAGAAUCAGUUUUAAUUAGGACUCACUCGAGGCAACAAGAAACUUACCUCUGCUCUGUCCAAUUUUCUUCUGGCUUUCUUCUUCUUCCUCUCCUCCCAGGAAAGUAUUGUCUCAUUUAACUUCUCAUACCUGACAAUUCUAUCUGUUACUACUUCUAAGUGCUUGCGCAAAUUGCAAAGAACAUGUUGAAGCAAAUGUUUCAGUUACCUCUCCUUGAUCCUGGCCAUCUCAGCCUUCUCCCAGGCAUCUGCUUGAGUUUCAGUUGUUGGAGGCCUUGCUGGAAUCUGUCUUUUUGUUUCAGUUGGUGGGGUAGCAGGCUUAAUGGGGGGAGGAAUAUCAGGUUUUGAUUUUGUCCCUCCGGGGCUUCUCGGGGGCAGAUCAAUUUUCUGCCUAUCUCCUUCAGGUUUUUUGCUGCUGGUUCUGUUCGAGACUUCAUCAGCAAAAGUUGGAGCUUUUUUCAUUGAUGAUGGACUGGGAUCAGUGACCUUGCUUGGUGAUCUUUUAGGUUUUGUACCGUCAGGGCUCUUCUUCAAUAGCUCAUCCCGAAAUGUUGGAGUCUUUUUAAUUGGUGAUGGAUCAAUGGCUUUUUCAGGAGCCCCUUCAUCUUUAGCAGCAGUUACUGGCACUUCCCUAUCCGGACUUGCCAAACUUGUCGUUGCAAUGUCUUCUGUUACAAACAAUUCCAUUAUGUUUGUACUUUCAUUUGACGUAUUUUAAAGUUGUUUCACAAGUUCAGAAUAUUUACCUGAGAACCUUUUUGAUAUUCUACCAGGUUCUGUAAUUGGUAUUGGUGUAUCGUCUUUUUUGCUCUUUUGCCUUCUCAAAGAUGCAUCGGGGCCAUCACUGUUCUUUUUCUGUUCUGACAUAUUUGAGAUUAAUGCAUCUUCCUUUUGGCUUUUGACCCUGCUCAUAGAGGGCUGGGGAGCAACUACACUGGUCUUUCUUUGACCUGGGAUGCGCGAUUCUUCUAUUGAUUUGUUAAUGGCAUAGGCAGCAGCUGCCACCGCAGUUGCAUGGUCCAUUUGGGUGUUGGGAUCAAAUUCCCCGCUCAUUUGCCUAGAAAAUUGUCUCCUUAACCAGUUCCGAGUUCUCUUCUCUGCAAAAUACCAAUCAUAUGUCAAAAGUUUUCAAGUAAAAUUUUUUGAUGAUUUCCUGUGGCUAUAUCAAUUCAUUGUGAUGAACCAUUUUAAAGAUAAGAUGCUACAGGAUGAGAAAUCUAGUGGUACCUCCUUUGAAAUAUUGUGUUUUCUGGAGUAGUAUUCGCCGUUCUUUGAAGCUGAUAGGUUCUUCAGGAUUCUCUUGUCCUACACUAGAAAAUCUUACCCUAACACAAGUGGUCAGUUAUGUUACAAAACGGGCAAUUGCUACAGCUUCUCGAUAGUACAUUAAAAACACCAAAAAAAUUCGUUCUCUUUUCAUCCGUUCAAUCAUAGAAUUUAAUUUCAAUGAAACACAUGCAAAGAUUUGUUUGUGAGUAUUUUCUGAUUCAAGAAAUUAGUUACCUUACCUCACUUGCUUGAUCAAACUAUCCAUCGUUGUUUAUUAAGACCCUUCUCAAAUCUCAACUUUCUUAAGAAUGAUCCGCAUGCCUUACUCAUGGCUUCGGCGUUUAUACAAAGAAGAAGCCCUAAGAGAAGGCUUCACAUUGUUAGUCUUAGGGUAUGGCUAGGCGUGGAGAGGGCGCACGCAAAGUUUGAUGUGCUUUGCAUUCAAGCACUGGUUUGGAUUUUAAAAGGGCUACUGCAUCAAGAAAAGUAUUCUUUCCCCUCUCACCUUUUUACUUUCUUGCAAAUUAUUCUUUGCCUUCACUCUUAGCUUCAAAUAAAAUAAAUACAACCUCUAGCUUAUGCAAUGAAGUUGCUCUCAAGAAGGGUUGAGAAUAAUCUUGAAAAAGAACAAAAUUUAAAUAUAAAUAAGAUUAUAUUUUUGUGCAAUAGAUGGGAUUGAAAUUAAAACGAACAAACGCCUUUAUCCAACAUCAAUGAUAAGAAAUAAAGAAGAAGAAUUGACCACUUUAAUCACUUGAUCCCCCUCAAGCAAUUGAGGAAACUUCUACGGUGCCUAUAUUUUUGGAGUGUCCACAAAUAAAGUAAUAGUAAAGCACGCAACCUAAGACUAAUAAGAAGUUGAAAUUGGACUCUGAAAAUGUUUCUAAGCACAAGCGGGGGCUUUAAAAUCUCUGAGAGUUGCAAAAACAAUAGAAUGAGGAGCAACUGUGAUAGGAGAAUAACGAUCCGCAAGCUUUGGCUCCAUUGAAGGGAUAUCUAAUGAAUUCGUGAGCUUCAAUGGAGUACCAUUAAGUAAUACAACGUCACUUUGAAUAUUUCCACCCUCUGGCGUCAAAUGGUACUCUUCUCUUGGUUUUUCAUCUUGAGAAUCCUGGGUUUGUUCUUGUGAAGGGUACAGAUUCAUAUCAUUGAUAACCGAAACAUCGAAGGAGGUCGAGUUUGACAAGUUGAUCAGAAGUACAGUAAUCCCAGGCUGCAAAAUAAUGUAGCAUUUUUAAUCAUGUUAUAAUAAAAGAAUAACUGCAUGCUGUAUUUGUAAGAUAGAGAAACUUAAUUUACCUUUUCCUUGGAACAAUGAGAAUAUACUCUCAAAUAUGGAGAGGCAUUCUGAGUAGUAGCAAGCACAUUCUUGCCCAUCAGGCGAUGCCACAGAAGAGAACUGGCACAAAAGGCGACACAGAAUGUUAGUGAAAUUUUAAUAACUCAAACUUGUUGAACCACUGAAGCACCCUGCUAAAUAAUUACCCAUAAUAAUCAGGAUUAGGAAUGAAUGUUGUAGUAUUAAGGAGAGCAUAGUUUCCACCAAUCAAAGCUUGUCUGCAGAAAACCUUGUGAUUGAAAGUUGAUGUCAUGCCCAGUUGGUCCAAGAACCUAUUUCAAUAAAAUACCACUUCACUAUGUGUAAAUAAAUACAUGUGUACAAAGGUUUAUAGGCAAAAUGGUUUUUACCAGAAGCCGUCAGCAAAGGUAUGUGACACAUAUUUGCCACCACUGUUGAAAGCUCCACCAGCUUCCCCCACCCAAGCUCCUGACCACGGCCCAAAUUCCUUGACAGUCUCGGAAAUAUCUUUGUAUGUCUGAGCAAUCUGAUCCAAGUAAUACGGAUCCUGAAUCCUGUUAAUAAGUUCAGGAUCAUUUCCUGCAAAUAACAAAGAAUUUUCUUAAGCCAGAACCCAAUAAGAUUCCUAAAAAUUUUCAAGGAAAAAUACAGUAAAUAUGACAAACCUGGUCCAAGGUUAUAGAUAUGGUGCGUUAGUCCAUCGACAACAUCUUGGCCUGAUUUCUCUAGAAAAGUAUUAAACCAUUGCUUAUCAAAAAAGCCAGCAGGUCCCAAUACUUUAGGCUGUGUUGUGGCGUCAGGGUACAUUUCUCUCACAAGAUUUUUGAGUGCCACAAUGUCUUUAGCAUACUGCUCAGCAGAAACUUUAGCAGAUACCCCAGAUGCACAAAGUUCAUUCCCUGAUAAUGAUAAACAUAACAGAAAUUAUAUGCACAACUUUGCAUUAUGCAAAAAAAAAGAUUCUACCAAUUCUGUUACAAUCUUAAUUUUUACCGAGUUCGUAGGAUUCAAUCUUGUAUCCUUUAGAGAUUGUGUACUUCAUCAAAUCUCGAGCAUUUUGUGCGUUCCAAUCACCCUCCCAAAGUGUGUCAUCAGUUUUAGAUUUUUUCCUUCCAAUGAGAGCGUUCAAUCCAAAUGUCAUCACAGCUCUGGAAACAAAUGCAUCUUAGUUAAUUACUGUUCAAUCUUAUACGUGUUUAGAAUAGAAGGAUUUUGAAUUUUUCGUGCAGUAAAUACCCUGUUUGGUUAAAUAAAUCAUUGAUCUCAUCCCAUCUAUUCAUUGAGAGGCAGCCUUUGCUGAAGCCAAACAAACCAUCUUUCCUAAGUUUAAAAUGGGGGCACUUCUUUGCAGAAUUGCCAACUUUGUACAAGACCUGAUCUUGCAAUGAACCUCCAACUCUGAUUCUCAAAGGCUGGAACGCUGAAAACGUUCGCCACAUUUAAAGUAAGAACAAAAACAAAAAUAAAACAAGCUAACAAAGGCUUGGCUAAGCAUAACGCUAUAUUUACCCUUGAUUGCAUUGGAAAGUAUCUUGUUUUUCAAGUCCUGCAAAUAUUUAAAAACCCAGAAAACUAAAUAAGUUUCUGCUUCAUGUAUAUAACAUGGGGAAAAAAGAAAAAAAGAAAAAAAAUACCAGAUUGAGAACGCCAGACUUUCCCCAGGGGCACUGGUUAUAAUCACAUUUGUUAAUUGGCCACCAGUCAAUAGUUGCGCAAACAAAGUUGUCGUCAGUGUUGGCUAUAGAGGUCACUCCUUGAACCGUCACCUUUACAUCUUCUGCUGAAGAAGAAACUGCUGAAAGCAGUAGCAGAAGAAUAGACAAUACUGUCACUUUAGCUAUCAUUAUCACCACAAUGAUCAAGAAUCAAACUGCAAUUAAAAAAAUAAAAUGAUGUGACUGACAUACGUACAAAGACAUUAUAUAUAUACUGCCAGUACAGUGCAUAAAAGUGGUGUAACAGAAGAGUAAUUCUGUUAGAAGUUGAUAACCAAUUCAUCUAAUUUUACUAUACUUUGAACCGAAAAAAUAACCCCAAAAAAUUAGAGAGAGAGAGAGAAAAUCUAAUCUUUUUAGCAUUAUCUAAUUUGUUAGAUGAUUCAUGAUUCUUUCCUUCUUAGUCUCUUGAUGUUAUCUUGUUCUUCUUAGUUGUCUAAUCUUAUCCCAUUCGUAUUUAAGUGGAAGAUAAUUAUAAAGUGUUUUAUAUCUUCUGUUUUUCUUCUAAUUUUUAUUCCAAUUUUAGAUACAAAAUUCAACCAUUUCUGCUUUCAUGUCAAUUAUGAUUAAAUUACUUCUCGCGUACAUCUGGGAUUUUUAUUCCAAUUUAAGAUACAAUUUUUGUUUUUUUAAUAAAAAAAAAUGAUGCUUUAGUCGGAGUCGUCGAACUCAAAACCUUCCAUUUACUAAACGGGUGCUCUAACCAACCGAGCUACGAAAACAAUCUCAGUAUUUAGAACGGAGUGAAGUUCCAUGCUAAUCAAAAGACUCUUGAGUUAGAAAGUUCCAAGGUUUCUUAGCCUUUACACCGGGCUUAGAUGAAUUUUCGUAUAAAUUACAGAAUUAGAUGGAAUAUAUCUAAGUAGCUUUCCAUGACUUUUCUUGAGGAAAUAAAACAAGGAAUCUCGCAUUUCUUUUAAAAUUGGGUGUCUGUAGUCCAUGUAUCUGAAAAUCAAUUAAAAAGACCUAUGAACAUAUGUACAUAUUACAAACUGUGCAAUAUACUCAUUCCACCAGACGUAGAUCAAUGUCAAAAGAUAUGCAUAUUCCCUUUUGAAGCCAUUAAUUUAAAUCAGAAGUAAUCACUAAUCAAAAGAUAUGCAUAUUCUAGCCCAACCUUCCCAGUAGAACCAUUUGUCAAAAGUAAUCACUCAUAAAUUCUGUGCGACUAUAAAUCGCAAGUUGAUUUAGGGAUAUGAGCAAGUCCAGAUGGUAUGCCUCCAGUCAUUUUGUUGCGUGACAGGUAACUACAACCAACGGAGCAAUUGAUUCACAAUGCGAUAGGAAAAAACCAAUCGAAAUUUAAAUUAAAUUAGCAACACAAUGGUUAUGUUCUUUACUCAUAUGUAGUUAUCACCAUAUUAAGCACAAUAUUGUCACUGAACGUCAUCCAUCUCCAUUUUUUGUUCAAAUUUGUUAAGCAUAAACGAACACUGCUUAAUUUAAAUUUGUAAAGUAAUCAUGGAAGUACUUGUCAUCUGUUACUUAAAACAAUAGAUGACAUGUUGUCUCUAUGUUUAUAAAGUAAACGACAUGUCUUUUCAAAAUUCUGUAUAGACGAUUCAUUGUAAAUGAUUACCUCCAAGCAUAUUGUUUACGAUAGUCCUGUUUUUGGGUUAAAAUAUUCGAUGACAUGUCUAUAUUUUUUUUGUAAAUUAGAUGAAAUAUUGAAAUGUCACGACGUUUCAAGCAUCCAAUUAUACCAAAAUUUUCUUUAAAUACACUAGUGAAGUUCUCAUCACAUAUUUUAAUGUGUUUAAGCCAAAAAAUAUAUCAAUUAUACGUAAAUGUAAUUGUUAUUGCUACAUACAUAUGCAUACGUAUAGAUAUGUAUAUAUAUAUAUAUAUAUAUAUAUCAAAAAAUUCAGACGUCACUAUACAUAAGAACAUGAAUAUGAUAUUAUUGCAGAUGUAAAAAAGAUAUAUCUCUUAAACUCAAAAAGCUUGCAAAUUGCAAUUGGCAGAUAGAUCCAAAUUAAUGAAACUCAUGGGUUUCUCUUGAAGCUCACCUCCGUCCAAUAAUACUUGAUCCAGUAGGCCGUACUCGUAAUUAAAACACACUAGCUAGGCUAGAGGGUUCACCAUUUCCAUGCUUGUUUCUGGUUGCUGCCUCCCACAAAACUUUCAAUCUCAAAUGUACAUACCACUCAUGUCAUAGUAAUGAAUACUCUUUAAUUACCACCUAAAGAGCAGGACCCAUUAAUCCCGAAACAAGCAUGGAAAUAGCAACCACUUAAUUUGCAACCAAUUAACCACAGAUAUAAUAUCAAAAACAAAUUGAAGACAUAACACUUAAUUAGACAAUAACACCUAGGUAGAACCUCGUACGUUGAGAAGAGAGAUCAUGACAUCAUAUAUCCUCAGGAAUUCCUGAAAAUUAAGCUGCACCCAAAUGUUUCUCGAACAAGAAAGAUACCAUGAGCAGGAAGAUGAAAGAAAAUGCGUGAAAGAAAUGAUAAGUUAAAGAAGGGGGAUGACCAUCAAUUGUGAAGAGGGUUUGGGCCGGUGGGAACGAGUCUUUUUUCGACGCCGUAUCUGGGAUCAACGAUCUGAUCAUGACCAAGUGGAGGUGGUGGUGGGGAGUAGUGUUGGUGGUGGUUUAUUUGGAGUUGAAUGCACAAAGAACGCGAGUUCUUGUUCAAGAACGUGUCACAAGAAUUGGGAUUCUUUAUGUCGUAGGGCUUGGGAAUGGGAAACCGGGCGGCUGACGACGACGAUGCGAAAGAGAUGAGCAGAAGAAGAAGAAGAGGAAGCAAGACUAUCAUCAUCAAGAAGCGAUGAUGGCCGUGCAUGUGCAUGCCGGAGGGAGAGCUCUGCCUCUGCAUGGCCAUGGCUUUUAUUGAUUAAUUAAUUUUGAUUUCAAUUUCUUGGAAUACGGAGAGGGCGAUGGGAGCGAUUUGUAGUGAAAGAGAUCGAUCGAGGGACGGAUGUAUGUGGAUGAUGGAUUGAUGGUGUUGUGGGAAACUGGCAUAUGCAGAAAGGGACUCACUUUCACUGGUAGUGUGUUUCUAAUAAUGCAAAGAAAGCAGGCAGCAAGGGACUUAUGAAGUUGUUUUAGUCACUGCAUUCACUACAUCUCCUCUCUCUCAUCAAAUGGAUCACGUAUUUUCGUAGGUCUGUAGUAACACUUAGUGCUUUUAAUAUAGCUUUAAGAAAGCUGCGAUUUCUUUUCUUUUCUUUUAUUUAUUUAUUUAUUUAUUUUUUUUUUCCGUUUUGGGGACCUUUUCUGGGUAAAAUUUACGCAAUGGAUGAUCGGACACAUUAACUAUACAAAAUACGUAGUUCCGCAUAUUUUGACUCUUUGAGGUGCUUGUACACAGUAUUUUUAAAUUUAUUUUUUUUGUUAAUGAUUUUAUUAAAGUUUACGUCUUCAAGAUUUUAAAAUUCAAAGUUUUGUUACAUAAUGAUAAGGCCUACGCCACAUUAUUAUUAUUAUUAUUAUUAUUAAUUAUUAUUUACGAUGUUGUGGUAUAAAAUUUAAAUUUACCUUCACCACAAGAGAAAUGGGAUUUUCAUGAAAAAUAAAAUAAAAUAAAAUAAAAUCUGAUCAAUGAAUCUAAUUUGGAACUUGUUUUUUUUGGAUAAGAAUUUGGAACUUAUUUGGACUUAUUUGUCUGAGCCCAUGUGAAUUGGUAUGAGCCCGUGUGAACUGGAUGGGCUAUGGUUUCUAAGGCGAAGUGUUUAGUGACAUUUGCGACAGGUGCGCCUGCCAUCGCAAGAGGCGGCUCAUAUAUGAGACUAUUUUUUUUUUUAAUAAAUUAAUUAACUUAGUUUUAAUUUUUUUAAACUAUCGACUAAUCAAAAUAUAUGUGAAACUGUCACAAUUAUACUUCGACAAGUUAUUUUCUGUAUUUUUUUUUCUGUCAUUGCUUUACCAUAAUGGAUGAAUUAAAAAAUAUAACUAAAUUGAUAAAAACAAAGUUUAAAGGAAAUAAAAUGACACAUCUACUAACUAAAUAAUUAAAAUAGCUUAUUAUCUCGAGUUCUUUCGAAAAGAUUAACACCGAGUUUUGAAUAAUGAUAUAUUUGUACAAAAAUUUUGCACAACAACACUAAAGUCAAAGUAAACAAAAAAAAAUGUCUUAUAAUAAAGAAUAUAUUUUCCUUUAAUGAUUAUGUAUGUGUUAUUUUUUAUAUUAAUCAAUGGUGUUUGAUAAACCAAAUAACUCUCAAAAUGAUGACUUAAAAGUUUAUUAAUUAUCCACAACAAUUGAUAAGAUAUACUCCCUUUAUAUUUAACCAAGUUUAUUUUCUUAGAUUUAUCAAAAAAUAAACUUAUUUUAUUUUUAAAAAAAUGUAAUAUUUCUUCAUCAAUACUCUUAUUCUAAUUUUUUCCCCCUCAACAAUAAACAAACGUUUUUUUAAGACGAACAAUAAGAGUACUUCAUUAAUAAUAAUACGCGGAUGAUUUUUAGAAAUUCGUUCGUUUAUUUGUCAAAGUAAAUCUAUAUACAAGAUUCCCCAAAAAAAAAACUAUAUAUAAGAGAAGUAAAUUUAUAUUUAAUUUCAUAUGAGACCUUUUUUUUUUUUUUUUUUGGUGAGAUUUGAUGAGAUAACAGGAGACAUUUUUCGUUGGCCAAUUUACGAUAAACUCUUUUUUAGUUUAAUUAUUUUUUUGUGGUCCUUGUAAUUGGUCCGUAGUAACGUUAGUUAAAAGUGAAAACAGAAAGCAUAUUCGAAUCUCUAUUUCUUCAAUAUUAUUUUAUCACUCAUUUUCAUUUCAUAUUCUUCUUCUUCUUCUUCAUCCUCCUUCAACAAACAGUUUCUCCUCCACCACCACGACGGAGAUGAAAAUGAUCCCUCUCUUAAUUCUCCUCUUUCUAGCCCCCACCCCAUCUCUAUCCGCACCCACCACGCUCACAGUCACCCCCAAAACCCUUACCAAAUCAGGCGACAGUGUUUCAAUCCAAUGGUCAAACGUCCCCUCCCCUUCAAAGCUCGACUGGCUCGGCAUCUACUCCCCGCCCGACUCGCGCCACGACCAUUUCAUCGGCUACAAGUUCCUCUCCGAAUCACCCACAUGGGCUUCCGGGUCGGGCUCAAUUUCAAUUCCCCUCACCAACCUCCGCUCCUCGUACUCCUUCCGGAUCUUCCGCUGGGCCGACUCCGAAAUCAACCCCAAGAAGCAAGACCACGAUCACAACCCUCUCCCCGGUACGGCCCACUUGUUGGCUAGUGCCGGGUCUGUCGGGUUCGAGACGGGACGGGGCCCCGAGCAGGUGCACUUGGCGUUCACGGAGGAUGCGAGUGAGAUGAGGGUGAUGUUUCUGGCGGAAGAUGGGGAAAAGAGGUAUGUGAAGUACGGUGAGAAGAAGGAUCAGAUGGGACAAGUGGCGGCGACAAGUGUGGAGAGGUAUGAGAGGGAUCAAAUGUGCGAUAAGCCUGCGAAUUCGAGCAUUGGCUGGAGGGAUCCUGGCUGGAUUUUUGAUGCUGUUAUCAAGGGUUUGAAGAAAGGUGUGAGGUAUUAUUAUAAGGUAUUUAAUCAUUUCUUCAUUAUUUGUUGUUUAAAUUUUGUUUUGAUUACUGUGUUAUCGUUGUCAGCUAAUUAGCUUCAUUGCGUGUUUAGCUUUAGUUUGGUAGCUUGAUCAGGUCGCGCCACUUUUGGAAUAAAUCGCUGCUACUAUGAGUAGACGAGCGGCUUCAUUUGCAAUAUUGCAUAAUUUAGCCUGGCUGCUGUGCUAAUAUUAUUUUUCAAGUAAUAAUGAGGCGUGAUUUAUGAGUUGUAACAUCUCGUUUUUUUGGUAGUCUAUGGUUCAAAAACCUGCUCUAAAUGUGCCUCCCGAAGAUUUAUUCACUUAGCAUGAUUGCGAUUUAUAUGCAUGUGAUUAAUCUAUGUAUUAGAUUCUUCCCAGUAUCUGAGUUAGAACAACUAUGCUUUGUUGUUGCAGGUUGGGAGUGACUCUAAAGGUUGGAGUGAGACUCAUAGCUUUGUGUCUCGGAAUGAAGACUCAAAUGAAACUAUAGCUUUCCUAUUUGGAGAUAUGGGGGCUGCAACACCAUAUACAACAUUUGAACGUACACAGGAUGAAAGUAUAUCAACCAUGAAGUGGAUCCUUCGCGAUAUCGAAGCUCUUGGUGACAAACCUGCUUUUGUUUCGCAUAUUGGAGAUAUCAGCUAUGCAAGGGGAUACUCAUGGUUGUGGGACGAGUUUUUCGCACUUAUUGAGCCUGUUGCUUCCAGAGUAGCAUAUCAUGUCUGCAUUGGCAAUCAUGAGUAUGAUUGGCCGUUGCAGCCUUGGAAUCCUGAUUGGUCAUACACAGUUUAUGGGACCGAUGGUGGUGGUGAAUGUGGAGUACCCUACAGCCUUAAAUUUCACAUGCCUGGGAACUCAUUAGAGCCAACUGGAACCCGUGCUCCAGCCACUCGAAAUCUCUAUUACUCAUUUGAUAUGGGGGUGGUACAUUUUGUUUACAUAUCAACCGAGACCAAUUUCCUUCGGGGAAGUAACCAAUAUAACUUCAUAAAGCAUGAUCUAGAGUCAGUUGAUCGGAAGAAGACCCCAUUUGUUGUAGUCCAAGGGCACAGGCCAAUGUACACUACAAGCAAUGAAAACAGAGAUGCCCCGUUGAGGAAUAGAAUGCUUGAGCACUUGGAACCUUUGUUUGUGGAAAACAAUGUGACUCUUGCAUUAUGGGGUCAUGUCCAUAGAUAUGAGAGGUUCUGCCCACUGAAUAAUUUCACAUGUGGAAGCAUGGGCAUGGAUGGGGAGCACUCAGAGGCAUUUCUGGUUCAUAUUGUGAUCGGGAUGGCUGGACAAGACUGGCAGCCGAUAUGGCAACCUAGACCAGACCACCCAGAUGAUCCAGUCUUCCCUCAGCCUAUGCGAUCUUUGUACCGUGGGGGUGAAUUUGGAUAUACGAGGUUGGUUGCCACAAAGGAGAAGCUCACACUUUCUUAUGUAGGGAAUCAUGACGGAGAGGUGCAUGAUAUGGUUGAGAUCCUUGCAUCUGGACAGGUUCUCAGUGGUGAUGUUACUGCGAGUGUCAAGGAAAGUGAAACUACCAGUGGUAGUGGUAGUGGGUCUGGUUCUGGACCUAGAGGUGAGUUAACCAAGUCUACUUUUUCAUGGUUUGUCCAGGGAGCAAGUAUCUUGGUGCUGGGGGCUUUUGUGGGCUAUGUCAUUGGCUACAUUUCACACACCAAGAAGGCAGCUACAUCAGGAAGGAGCUGGACUCCUGUUAAGACUAACGAAGAUGCAUGAACUAUAAAUAGCAGUGAUAAUAUUUUGCUAGAAAUUGCAAAUGAUUGUGUUUUUUAAUUUUCGAAACUUGUUUCCUCCAUGGGAUUAGGUUUUGAACUUUCGAAGCAAUGGUAUUCUACUUCUUGGCCUGCAAUUUGGCUAUGGCCAAAAUUGCAGGCCACAUGUACAAGUUUUUGUAAAUACGAAAGUUAUCAACAUAUUUAUUGUGAAAUAAAAAUACUAGACGAGGUGUUUCACUUAGUAUAUAGAAUUGAGUUUUUGAGUUGUGUUGUAAUGCUCGGAUGAAUGUGUUUGAUAUCUCGUAUUAUUUCAACCUUAGUAUUUUUAGCUUAUGUAUAGCGUACAUUUUGUUGGAAACUCUAGUGAAAGAGGGCUACUGAGGCUGUCUCAUUGUUUUAGGAUUUUUGAAGGAUCAUUUGUCAUAAGCCUAUUAAAAGCUACGUGACAGUAAUCUGUUUCUUUCCAUUUCUUGAGUAGCCAACUUUCAAAUCAGAAUGGGGUUAUUUUAACUUAAAAUUUUGACAUAAAUUUUGAGCUAUUGAUUUCUAGUAAUCUAAUGAUAAAUAUUGAAUAUCAAAGUAGCAUCUAAUGAUGAUUGUUGAUCCAUCUUUAGAUUUCUUGAAUGGAGUUAUUUUAACUUAAAAAUUUGACAUAAAUUUUGAGCUAUUGAUUUCUAAUAAUUCAAUUAUAGAUAUUGAAUAUUAAAGUAACAUCUAAUGAUGAUUAUUAAUCCAUCUUUAGAUUUCUUAAAAUUUUAAUGAAAAAAAUUUCUGCAAACAAUAUAUCAUGCAAGCCAUUAGAUUAACGUAUCAUCAAAUUGAUCAUUUGAUUAAAAAAGAAAAAAGUAAUUUUGCGGCUUUACAUGGUUCGCUGAACGAUUUGUUUCAUUGUAUCUAUUUGAAAGUAUACAAGAACACAAAAAGAAUUCAAAAAAUGAUAUUCAUCCCAUCAUUAAAUCCCCACGUGAACAAAAAUGAAGAAGAUAACAAUUGCAUAUAUUACGCAUAAGAUUAAGAAGGGAGAUUAAAGAAUCCAAUAGUGUGAGGUGAAAAGAUUGAAUCAAAAGGAGGGAGGAAAAAGGCCAUUGGAGCGAUUAUAGGAAAGUUCAUGGUGUUGGUAUACGCAGAAAUCCAUGGUGAUUUUACUUUCCAAGCAAAUGGCGUGCACGCUGGUUCGCACCUUUAACCCGAGAGUUGAGCUCAUCCACAUCCGCGUCAAGAUGAUCCAGAGAUUUGUUUUGCCUACAUUUUAUAGAGAUUAUUAGAAUAGAGACUGAGACACUGAGUGUGUGUAUGUGCAUUUGUUAGAAUUUGGUACAAAGCAACUAACCUGUCAAGUUCACUCCCCAUAUCGACUGCCAUGCCCUUUAGAUCACCCAAGAUAUUACUUAGAUCUGAAAGUGCAUCAUCUUGUUCGGCUUUCUCCAUCUGGUUUUGAUAACACGUAAAUAAAUGCCAGUCUGAUAAGUCAAAGCCAUUAAAACGUGUACACAAGUGAUCCACAACAUUUGCAUAGCACUAACCUCAACUUUCUGCAUUGCAUUUGCUGGUUCAGGAGGGGGUGUUCGACCAGCUGAGCGUGGCUUGGGUACAGGUGCUACGCCCAAUUUUUCCCUCUCCCCUUUGUUUACACCUUUUUUGGACGAAUGAUCUGCCAAGCCAACAAAGUUAACCACAAUUUUCAUGUUUCAUCGAAAUGGAGUUAUGCAAGUAAAUGAAAAAGAAGAAAUUUGUAUUGUAUUAGAAGAAAACCUGGUGUGUCUAAAGGCCCUGCAAUAUUUCGGGUCUUCUUCGGCUUCCACGUCUUUGAGAACAUGCCCCCAAGAUUAUUUAACUGCUUCUCACCCUGGCAUUGAGAAAUCAAUUAUGAUAACAACACACUGAAGCCAAAACAAAAGAAGAGCACCAUAUAAUGAGCUUAAUUACCUUACUCAAAUCUUUCUCUGUAUCAGCAACCAUAUUGUGAGUCCUAUGGAUUUGCUCUCCCUGCUGAUGCAACAUGUCGAGUGUCUUUGUAGCGUCCUCUCUGAUAUUCUCAGCAAUCUUCAGGCAAUUAUUGACGCUGUUUGUUGUUUCCUCAGCCUUGUAGACGGCGUAAUUCUCCAAUUCCUGCACACUUUGGUUCUCUAAUCCUCCUGAAUCGCGGAAAUCAUUCUUGUAAUGGUCUCUUCCCUUGUGAUCGUUGCUGAAGUCCGGCGUUAUAAGCACAGGCUCGGAAGAAGUUCUUCUUGCAGGCUUUAUAGCUGCCUUCUUAUCACAUUCAUCGUCUGAAGCCGCUACUGGGUUUACUUUCUUCUGCUUUGGCUUUGCAGGUGAUCUAAAGAAAUCGAACAUUUUGAUUGUAUCUAUCAACUAAACAACCAGAAACGAUUGCUGGUCUCCAAAGUACCGAAAGCCAAGCCAAUUACUUGAUCCCGGUAGAAGAGAGCCUAAGAAAAAAUAAGCAAUCUCAAUCGGUUGCAGUCACAGAAUUGAUAAUAUAUCACUGCUGCAUCAUCCGCCAAUCUUACAUGAAUCAUAACGAAAAAAAGUAGCAACAAAUAUCAUCCAACACCAGCCCCAACAAUCUGGAAAUAAUGAUCAAUUAACCGGUGACUAAUGCAUAUAAUUCAAUAACUAUGAUAAAACCAUAAAUCAAACAUCAAAAGCAUAUGGAAAUUGGGGUACCAACACGGAGCAAGUUUCCCAUCACGUAGUGGGCAAUUGGACAAUGGACAUGUGACACAAUUAUUUAAAAAAAGAAAAAUUUAGAUUAAACAGAUGGUGGCACGUGGCAAUACGGGCAAAGACAGACACGUCAAUUAACACCAACCACCAUGUUUGAUAACGUAACUACACUGUCCCAAAAAUGAUUAUGAUUGUAGAAAAUGAAAAGGUAGACGCUUAACAACAAAUGGGCACCUGAAAUUCAUUCUUUUCAAAGAAUCGGAGGAAAAAAAUAAUUGGGAUUGUAUUUCUGAGAAGAAGCUUCGUACACAAACCGCAAAUGGGUUGUGCGGAAACGAGAGAAGCGGGAAACAAUUUAACACUUUGGUAAAUUUUGUUUACUUUAUAUGCGAUUUUUCUCAAUUUAUCCCUUUGAAGAAAUCAAACAGAUGAGAGGCACGGCGUAAAAGAAGAGAGUUAAGAGUGACAGACAGCUUUUGUAGAACUUUUUUUGACCGUUGGGUUAUUUUCAGGCUUUUUUUUGGGGGGGGGUGGGAUAGCUUUGGGCCCAAUUUGUGGAUCUGGCAACGUGAUCCAAA